Molecule: small nuclear RNA, 106 nt
Filed under: Microcebus murinus (gray mouse lemur)
Lineage: Eukaryota; Metazoa; Chordata; Mammalia; Primates; Cheirogaleidae
Source: RNAcentral
GUGUAAGUCAAGGAGCACCUGUACUACAAUUGGAACAAUACAAAGAAGAUUAACACGACCUCUGGACAAGGAUUACACAUAAAUUUGUAAAGCAUUCUAUAUGUUU